This is a long non-coding RNA of Oreochromis aureus, 779 nucleotides long. RefSeq lists it as uncharacterized. The transcript has 5 exons. The record is from RefSeq and is a predicted model, not a curated record. Lineage: Eukaryota; Metazoa; Chordata; Actinopteri; Cichliformes; Cichlidae.
CACGCCAGAUGUUAACUGAACACUUGAGUGAAAGUUCCUGUUGUUAAACCGAAAGCAAAGGUUAAAGCGGAAAUCUAGGUGACAUACAUGAGUUUAAGUCAAGUGACAGAAGUAAACCGAGCCAUGCUUAUUGCUCGUGGGAUACUUUAAGCUAUGAGGGAAACGAUAACUUGGGCCCGAAAGCAACUCCCUCAAGUCCUUAUCAAAGCCAUUCUGGGGGAUCCUCCUCACCGUGCCAGGUGGGCGGGCAACCCCCCCAAGUUGUGAGUGUAAUGACUGGAGAGCGAGGUGACAUCGGAGUUUGAAAUCGACACUACAGGUGGAUCUACUAAAGUCUUGGAUGAGUUUGAAUCUUAGUUACCACAGCUUCAAGCACAGGUAGGCGGGGUGGUGUGUCACGGGAUGCUGACACACCGGCGGUACAUCAGACGUCAUUUGAUGGAGCGUUAUUUAGGAGCGGCGCAACAGACGUCUGGUGUCGGAGUAUUGCCACCUCCCCGAGUGCUGGAUCUAUCACCCGCUUACCUGUCAGCUGUUUGUGAAGCCGCAUUUCCGGGAUCUCUACGGGGAUAGAUCUCAGCAUUUCUUCUACUUCCCGGGAAUCCUCGCCCGAGUCUGUACAGCCAGUGUGACAAAUCCACCCUGCGUGUGCGGGUUACCCCUUUCCCUCAGAAUGCGUGUCAGCUCCCUUCUCUGGUUUCCCUCCGUUUAUUUGUCGGCGUACAUAUUCCAUCCCGUGUAAAUAAGUUGGACACUGUAAAUAAACAGCACUUCCUGCA